RNA transcript from Cottoperca gobio, 3304 nucleotides. It is a transcript of the gene named EYA transcriptional coactivator and phosphatase 4, with no coding region annotated. NCBI's taxonomy places the organism in Eukaryota, Metazoa, Chordata, Actinopteri, Perciformes, Bovichtidae. The transcript is spliced from 21 exons. The record is from RefSeq and is a predicted model, not a curated record.
ACAGCCUGGUGCUCAAACUUGGACGCGGACUGAAAAUAAUGUCGUUACCCGCAGAGGAGAGCGGUCCGGUCACCGACACCGAGACCCGGGACUCCGGUUUGAGUUUGUAAAUUUGUUUUAUCGAGUUUGAUAAACUCCUCGGGCUUGUUUUUGGACUCUUGCGGGUAAUGGCCAGCAGUUGCUGAAGUGUUUUGAUCCAGUCAGUGACAGCCUGCAAACAGCAGGGAGAGCUGUGCAGCGACCACACUGCAUUUGAUUAUGAGCCUUUCUAAGAAGUGAAGGGAAUCUGGGAGCUGAUUUCUUGCUGGGACGAAAGUAAUUUAUACACAGUGUGUGGCGGAUCAAAACCCAAGAAGCCAUGGAGGCCUCACAGGACCUCAACGAACAGAUGGUGAAGAAAUCCCACAGUGAAUCUCAUGUUCCAGACCCUUCCGACGCCAGGUCUAUGGAAAUGCAGGACCUAGCCAGUCCUCAUAACCGUGUGGGAGGUGCAGAUUCGACAGGCUCCAAGCUGGACAAGAACAACCUUGGCAGCCCCUCCAUCACCACCAAUGGAACAGGAGGUGAAAACAUGACAGUUCUAAACACGGCUGAUUGGCUGUUGGGCUGCAGCAGCCCGCCCCCUGCCCCGGGCUCCAAGGACUAUGUGAAAACAGAGCCUAUGAACAACAGCGAUACAGUCACUACGACAGGCGACACAGCACUGGACACAUACGCAGGCUCAGUAAUCACCAGCAGCGGGUACAGCCCACGUUCAGCCCACCAGUACUCCCCUCCCCUCUACCCAUCAAAGCCCUACCCUCACAUUCUCUCCACACCGGCAGCCCCUCCCAUGCCGACGUACGCCGGUCAACCCCAGUUCAGCAGCAUGCAGCAGUCGACCGUCUACACCGCCUACUCCCAGACAGGACAAGCAUAUGGACUGUCCUCAUAUGACCUCGGUGUGAUGCUGCCAGGCAUUAAGACAGAAGGCGGCCUGGCUCAGAGUCAGUCUCCUCUGCAGACAGGCCUCAGCUACAGCCCCGGCUUCACCACACCUCAGCCCGGACAGACUGCAUACUCACCCUAUCAGAUGCCAGGUUCCAGUUUCACUCCUUCCUCAGGCCUCUACGCCACCAACAACUCAGUGUCCAACCCCGCCAACUACACUGCCACACAGCAGGAUUAUCCCUCAUAUACAACGUUUGGCCAAAACCAGUACGCCCAGUAUUAUUCCGCCUCCACUUACGGGACUUAUAUGAGCUCCAACAGCGUAGACGGCACAGGCUCCACGGCGGCCUACCAGCUGCAAGAUCCCGCCCCUGCCAUGACCGGACAGGCGGUUGAACUUCACCCAGGGGACUUUGAUACAGUGCAGAGCCCCUCCACGCCCAUCAAAGAGCUGGAUGACCGAGCCUGCCGGAGUGGGGGGUCCAAGUCCAGGGGCAGGGGCCGCAAGAACAACCCCUCCCCGCCCCCUGAUAGUGACCUGGAGAGGGUGUUUGUGUGGGAUCUGGACGAGACAAUCAUCGUCUUCCACUCUCUGCUCACGGGCUCCUACGCACAGAAAUAUGGCAAGGACCCUCCUAUGGCAGUAACGCUGGGCCUGAGGAUGGAAGAGAUGAUCUUCAAUUUGGCUGACACACACUUGUUCUUUAAUGACUUGGAGGAGUGUGAUCAGGUACAUAUUGAUGAUGUGUCAUCAGACGACAAUGGCCAAGACUUAAGUACUUACAGUUUUGCAACUGAUGGCUUCCAUGCAGCUGCAACCAGCGCCAACCUGUGCCUGGCUACGGGUGUCCGCGGCGGGGUCGACUGGAUGAGGAAACUGGCCUUCCGCUACCGACGAGUCAAAGAAUUGUAUAGCACGUACAAAAACAAUGUGGGGGGCAUGCUGGGUCCUGCUAAAAGAGACGCCUGGCUGCAGCUCAGGGCAGAGGUGGAGGCUCUGACUGACUCCUGGCUCACCCACGCUCUCAAGUCCCUGUCCAUCAUCAGCUCCAGGAGUAACUGUGUAAACGUGUUGGUGACCACAACGCAGCUCAUACCAGCGCUGGCUAAAGUUCUCUUAUAUAGUCUGGGAUCUGUUUUUCCCGUCGAGAACAUUUACAGUGCAACAAAAAUAGGCAAAGAGAGCUGUUUUGAGCGUAUAGUCUCCCGCUUUGGCACUAACAUUACAUAUGUUGUGAUUGGCGAUGGGAAGGAUGAAGAGCAUGCAGCCAGCCAGGAAAAGAGAGUUGCUUUGAACGCAUAAUGCAAAGGUUUGGCAGGAAAGUAGUGUAUGUUGUAAUUGGGGACGGUGUGGAAGAGGAGCAGGCGGCCAAAAAGCACAACAUGCCUUUCUGGAGGAUAUCCAGUCACUCGGACCUGCUGGCACUACACCAAGCACUGGAGUUUGAGUACCUGUAACUAUUAUAGCAAUAUGGACUCAUGCAAUGUUACCGUGGACAUGGUCAGCCAGGCAGCCCCCUUCUUUUGUAUAACUAUUUAAGAACAAACAAUACACUGCAACUGUUUUUUUUUUCUUCCUUUUUGUCGUUUUUAUUUUUGAACGUCUGGAUUUACAAACUCUGAACGGUCUUAAGAAGCAAAAGGAGAGGUGAAAGGAGGUAAAGAACAGAACAGUGGGCUUAAGAAGAGAUGACUCAACUACCCAGCUCUGCCCCUGUGGCCCCAAUGCUGGGACCACACCGCUGUGAAAACCUGUCUACUGUCCCUGCAGCAGUAGCAGACUGAAAGCCUGUAAAGGCUAAAUGCCUCCCUUGUCCUGGGAGGAUGUUUCUUGGGCGACUCCUUGAUGUUUGUUUUGUUCUGGAGCACCCAGACUAGUUUCUGGCCUGUUGUGGGUCACCUGGGACGAACUUUCAAACAACGAGAGCUUCUCUGUACAGGCAUUUUGUGUGCGGGGUUGACAGCUGCUUUUUUUUUUUAUAUAAGUGUUUACUUCCUGGUGGUAUAAUCACAACACAAUCUGCAUCUGUAAAUUAUUUACAAUAAACUUAAAAAAAGGGCAGUGGUGGAUGUUUUUGUGAAGGAAAUCAAUUUUGGGAGUCUGUUUUUUUUCCUCUGGAUUUUUGUAAUUGUUUGGGCGGGGGGAAUUGAGGAUGUGUGUCAUGAUGUGUUGUGCCUUAAUGUGUUUGAAUGUCUUUUCUUUAUUCAGAAAUGUCUAUGUAUGUAGAUAUAAAAAUGAGAAAACUUAUCCAAAUGAACCAUGCAUCUUGUCUUUCCUAAUUACAUUUUAAACUGAUCUUCAGAUUAUAACUAAACAUGUACAGCAGGGGUCACCAACCUUUUUGAAACAGCUACUUCAAGGGUACUGAAUAAU